GUGGGGAAUUUUGGACAAUGGGCGCAAGCCUGAUCCAGCAAUGCCGCGUGCAGGAAGAAGGCCUUCGGGUUGUAAACUGCUUUUGUACGGAACGAAACGGUCCUGGUUAAUACCUGGGGCUAAUGACGGUACCGUAAGAAUAAGCACCGGCUAACUACGUGCCAGCAGCCGCGGUAAUACGUAGGGUGCGAGCGUUAAUCGGAAUUACUGGGCGUAAAGCGUGCGCAGGCGGUGCUGUAAGACAGGCGUGAAAUCCCCGGGCUCAACCUGGGAAUUGCGCUUGUGACUGCAGUGCUGGAGUACGGCAGAGGGGGAUGGAAUUCCGCGUGUAGCAGUGAAAUGCGUAGAUAUGCGGAGGAACACCGAUGGCGAAGGCAGUCCCCUGGGCCUGUACUGACGCUCAUGCACGAAAGCGUGGGGAGCAAACAGGAUUAGAUACCCUUGUAGUCC
RNAcentral lists this ribosomal RNA (450 nucleotides) under uncultured bacterium. RNAcentral describes it as "bacterial SSU rRNA". It matches the Rfam family "Bacterial small subunit ribosomal RNA", at positions 354 to 796 of the family's 1533-position model. The record is from RNAcentral.